RNAcentral lists this ribosomal RNA (253 nucleotides) under uncultured bacterium. RNAcentral's name for it is "partial 16S ribosomal RNA". It matches the Rfam family "Bacterial small subunit ribosomal RNA", at positions 524 to 776 of the family's 1533-position model. The record is from RNAcentral.
UACAGGGGGGGCAAGCGUUGUUCGGAAUUACUGGGCGUAAAGGGUUCGUAGGUGGCCACUUAAGUCAGACGUGAAAUCCCUCAGCUUAACUGGGGAACUGCGUCUGAUACUGAGUGGCUUGAGUGCAGGGGAGGAAUGCGGAAUUCCAGGUGUAGCGGUGAAAUGCGUAGAUAUCUGGAGGAACACCGGUGGCGAAGGCGGCAUUCUGGACUGUAACUGACACUGAGGAACGAAAGCCAGGGGAGCAAACGGG